This 496-nucleotide ribosomal RNA is filed under the name uncultured bacterium. RNAcentral's name for it is "partial 16S ribosomal RNA". It matches the Rfam family "Bacterial small subunit ribosomal RNA", at positions 29 to 507 of the family's 1533-position model. The record is from RNAcentral.
ACGAACGCUGGCGGCGUGCCUAAUACAUGCAAGUUGAGCGCUGAAGGUUGGUACUUGUACCAACUGGAUGAGCAGCGAACGGGUGAGUAACGCGUGGGGAAUCUGCCUUUGAGCGGGGGACAACAUUUGGAAACGAAUGCUAAUACCGCAUAAAAACUUUAAACACAAGUUUUAAGUUUGAAAGAUGCAAUUGCAUCACUCAAAGAUGAUCCCGCGUUGUAUUAGCUAGUUGGUGAGGUAAAGGCUCACCAAGGCGAUGAUACAUAGCCGACCUGAGAGGGUGAUCGGCCACAUUGGGACUGAGACACGGCCCAAACUCCUACGGGAGGCAGCAGUAGGGAAUCUUCGGCAAUGGACGAAAGUCUGACCGAGCAACGCCGCGUGAGUGAAGAAGGUUUUCGGAUCGUAAAACUCUGUUGGUAGAGAAGAACGUUGGUGAGAGUGGAAAGCUCAUCAAGUGACGGUAACUACACAGAAAGGGACGGCUAACUACGUG